Molecule: ribosomal RNA, 971 nt
Filed under: human gut metagenome
Description: bacterial LSU rRNA
Rfam family: Bacterial large subunit ribosomal RNA
Source: RNAcentral
AGGUAGCGAAAUUCCUUGUCGGGUAAGUUCCGACCUGCACGAAUGGCGUAACGAUCUCCACACUGUCUCGGCCAGAGACUCGGUGAAAUUGCAGUCGCGGUGAAAAUUCCGUGUACCCGCAGAAAGACGGAAAGACCCUGUGCACCUUUACUAUAGCUUGACAUUGGAUUUUGGGCCUGCAUGUGUAGGAUAGGUGGGAGGCUGUGAACCCUGUACGCCAGUAUGGGGGGAGCCAUCCUUGAAAUACCACCCUUGCAUGUUUAAGAUCCUAACUUCUUCCGGUUAUCCCGGAGAAAGACAGUGUCUGGCGGGUAGUUUGACUGGGGCGGUCGCCUCCUAAAGUGUAACGGAGGCAUGCAAAGGUUCCCUCAGCCUGAUCGGAAACCAGGCGCUGAGUGCAAACGCAUAAGGGAGCUUGACUGUAAGAGAGACAUCUCGAACAGGAACGAAAGUUGGCGUUAGUGAUCCGGUGGUCCCGAAUGGAAGGGCCAUCGCUCAUUGGAUAAAAGGUACGCCGGGGAUAACAGGCUGAUCGCAUCCAAGAGUUCACAUCGACGAUGCGGUUUGGCACCUCGAUGUCGGCUCAUCACAUCCUGGGGCUGAAGCAGGUCCCAAGGGUACGGCUGUUCGCCGUUUAAAGUGGUACGCGAGCUGGGUUUAAAACGUCGUGAGACAGUUUGGUCCCUAUCUUCUGUGGGCGAAGGAGAAUUGAGAGGGCCUGUCCCUAGUACGAGAGGACCGGGAUGGACGCACCCCUGGUGAUCCUGUUGUCGCGCCAGCGGCACAGCAGGGUAGCUAUGUGCGGAAGGGAUAACCGCUGAAAGCAUCUAAGCGGGAAGCCUGCCUCAAGAUAAGUUCUCCCCUCGAAAGAGCUGAAGGGCCCGGGUAGACUACCCGGUCGAUAGGCUGGAGGUGUAAGCGCGGCGACGUGCUCAGCUGACCAGUACUAAUAGCCCGAGCGGCUUAUUUGU